RNAcentral lists this ribosomal RNA (607 nucleotides) under uncultured bacterium. RNAcentral's name for it is "bacterial SSU rRNA". The stretch from base 1 to 532 matches the Rfam family "Bacterial small subunit ribosomal RNA", at positions 338 to 873 of the family's 1533-position model. The record is from RNAcentral.
CCUACGGGAGGCAGCAGUAGGGAAUAUUGGGCAAUGGAGGCAACUCUGACCCAGCCAUGCCGCGUGCAGGAUGAAGGCGUUAUGCGUUGUAAACUGCUUUUAUAUAGGAAGAAAUAGACCUUGCGAGGUAAGUUGACGGUACUAUAUGAAUAAGCACCGGCUAACUCCGUGCCAGCAGCCGCGGUAAUACGGAGGGUGCAAGCGUUGUCCGGAUUUAUUGGGUUUAAAGGGUGCGUAGGCGGUUUAUUAAGUCAGUGGUGAAAGACGGUCGCUCAACGAUUGCAGUGCCAUUGAUACUGGUAGACUUGAGUAUGAUUGAGGUAGCUGGAAUGGAUAGUGUAGCGGUGAAAUGCAUAGAUAUUAUCCAGAACACCAAUUGCGUAGGCAAGUUACUAAGUCAUAACUGACGCUGAUGCACGAAAGUGUGGGUAUCAAACAGGAUUAGAUACCCUGGUAGUCCACACUGUAAACGAUGAUAACUAACUGUUGGCUUUCGGGUCAGUGGUACAGAGAAAUCGUUAAGUUAUCCACNGGAGACGCGCGACGUAGACGUACGAUAGAGUAGUACGGACGUGAGACGNGCGACGGACGACGACGAGGGAGGAGG